ACGAACGCUGGCGGCGUGCUUAACACAUGCACGUCGAACGCUGAAGCCCAGCUUUUGUUGGGUGGAUGAGUGGCGAACGGGUGAGUAACACGUGAGUAACCUGCCUCCUUCUUUGGGAUAACGCCCGGAAACGGGUGCUAAUACUGGAUAUUCACUGGUCUUCGCAUGGGGGUUGGUGGAAAGGGUUUUUCUGGUGGGGGAUGGGCUCGCGGCCUAUCAGCUUGUUGGUGGGGUGAUGGCCUACCAAGGCUUUGACGGGUAGCCGGCCUGAGAGGGUGACCGGUCACAUUGGGACUGAGAUACGGCCCAGACUCCUACGGGAGGCAGCAGUGGGGAAUAUUGCACAAUGGGCGCAAGCCUGAUGCAGCGACGCCGCGUGAGGGAUGGAGGCCUUCGGGUUGUGAACCUCUUUCGCUCAUGGUCAAGCCGCAACAAUGGUUGUGGUGAGGGUAGUGGGUAAAGAAGCGCCGGCUAACUACGUG
This 482-nucleotide ribosomal RNA is filed under the name uncultured bacterium. Its description in RNAcentral is "partial 16S ribosomal RNA". It matches the Rfam family "Bacterial small subunit ribosomal RNA", at positions 29 to 507 of the family's 1533-position model. The record is from RNAcentral.